UUUUUCGGAGAGUUUGAUCCUGGCUCAGGACGAACGCUGGCGGCGUGCCUAAUACAUGCAAGUCGAGCGGACAGAAGGGAGCUUGCUCCCGGAUGUUAGCGGCGGACGGGUGAGUAACACGUGGGUAACCUGCCUGUAAGACUGGGAUAACUCCGGGAAACCGGAGCUAAUA
This 172-nucleotide ribosomal RNA is filed under the name Bacillus safensis. RNAcentral describes it as "partial 16S ribosomal RNA". It matches the Rfam family "Bacterial small subunit ribosomal RNA", at positions 1 to 168 of the family's 1533-position model. Lineage: Bacteria; Bacillati; Bacillota; Bacilli; Caryophanales; Bacillaceae. The record is from RNAcentral.